This 427-nucleotide ribosomal RNA is filed under the name uncultured bacterium. RNAcentral describes it as "bacterial SSU rRNA". It matches the Rfam family "Bacterial small subunit ribosomal RNA", at positions 355 to 775 of the family's 1533-position model. The record is from RNAcentral.
UCGAGAAUUUUUCUCAAUGGGGGAAACCCUGAAGGAGCGACGCCGCGUGGAGGAUGAAGGCUUUCGGGUUGUAAACUCCUGUCAUUAGGGAACAAUGUGCACCCGUUAACUGCGGAUGCAUUGAUAGUACCUGAAGAGGAAGGGACGGCUAACUCUGUGCCAGCAGCCGCGGUAAUACAGAGGUCCCAAGCGUUGUUCGGAUUCAUUGGGCGUAAAGGGUGCGUAGGUGGUGCCGUAAGUUGGAUGUGAAAUCUCGGGGCUUAACCCCGAAACUGCAUUCAAUACUGCGGCGCUCGAGUACUGGAGAGGAGACUGGAAUUCACGGUGUAGCAGUGAAAUGCGUAGAUAUCGUGAGGAAGGCCAGUGGCGAAGGCGGGUCUCUGGACAGUUACUGACACUGAGGCACGAAGGCCAGGGGAGCAAACGG